UUAGACAAUACGUUGUAUUUGGUACUCAC
Molecule: non-coding RNA, 29 nt
Filed under: Mus musculus (house mouse)
Lineage: Eukaryota; Metazoa; Chordata; Mammalia; Rodentia; Muridae
Source: RNAcentral